GUGCGUGGCCAUACCUCCCUGAUCGCGCGGGAUCUCAUCUGAUCUCGCGAAGCUAAGCCGGUUCGGGCCUGGUUAGUACUUGGGUGCGAGAGACGACCCGAAAUACUGUGCAGUCGCUGAGU
This 122-nucleotide ribosomal RNA is filed under the name Propithecus coquereli (Coquerel's sifaka). The record is from RNAcentral. Lineage: Eukaryota; Metazoa; Chordata; Mammalia; Primates; Indriidae.